RNAcentral lists this ribosomal RNA (375 nucleotides) under uncultured bacterium. Its description in RNAcentral is "bacterial SSU rRNA". It matches the Rfam family "Bacterial small subunit ribosomal RNA", at positions 521 to 896 of the family's 1533-position model. The record is from RNAcentral.
UAAUACGGAGGGGGCUAGCGUUGUUCGGAAUUACUGGGCGUAAAGCGCGCGUAGGCGGACCUGCAAGUCGGGGGUGAAAGCCCGAGGCUCAACCUCGGAACUGCCUUCGAUACUGCGGGUCUCGAGUCCGGGAGAGGUGAGUGGAAUUCCUAGUGUAGAGGUGAAAUUCGUAGAUAUUAGGAAGAACACCAGUGGCGAAGGCGGCUCACUGGCCCGGUACUGACGCUGAGGCGCGAAAGCGUGGGGAGCAAACAGGAUUAGAUACCCUGGUAGUCCACGCCGUAAACGAUGGAUGCUAGCCGUUGGCAGGCUUGCCUGUCAGUGGCGCAGCUAACGCAUUAAGCAUCCCGCCUGGGGAGUACGGUCGCAAGAUUA